AGGAAUUUAGGUUAAAACAGACCAAGAGCCUUCAAAGCCCUAAGCAAGUAUGUUAUACUUAACUCCUG
RNAcentral lists this transfer RNA (68 nucleotides) under Mammut americanum (American mastodon). RNAcentral describes it as "tRNA-Trp". Lineage: Eukaryota; Metazoa; Chordata; Mammalia; Proboscidea; Mammutidae. The record is from RNAcentral.